Molecule: RNA transcript, 5959 nt
Organism: Nycticebus coucang (slow loris)
Lineage: Eukaryota; Metazoa; Chordata; Mammalia; Primates; Lorisidae
Gene: IRS1
Gene name: insulin receptor substrate 1
Exons: 3
Source: RefSeq, a predicted model, not a curated record
CCUCCAGGCGGCUGCGACCCGGUUGCCGAACGCUGAGGCUCUGUCACGUGUUUUUCUCCUCCGAGUGAGACGGCGGCGCGGUCGGAGGGGGCCGGCGCACAGAGCCAGACGCCGCCGCUUGUUUUGGUUGGGGCUCUCGGCAACUCUCCGAGGAGGAGGAGAAGGAGGAGGAGAGAAGUAACUGCAGCGGGAGAGCCUCCGGGGGAACAGGCGUCUUCCCCGAAUCCUUCCCAAACCUCCCCCCUCGCCUCCCGCCCUUGUCCCCUCCCCUCUUCCUCUGCCGACUGGAGCGCGGGGCAGGGAUGAGCCUGUCCCUCCGACCGUCACCGGCUCCCUUGGCUGCCCAGUAGCAUUUCUCAUGGAAAAGCUACUUUCUCCGCCCGCCGAUAUGGGCCCAAAUGGGGACUGCAGAGGACUCGUCCGAGGGAGGCGACAUCAGCAACAGCCGCAGCGCCGCGGUCUCUGCGAUUGAGCUGGUAUUUGGGCUGCUGGUGGCGGCGGGGACUGUUGGGGCGGGGGUGGGAGGAGGCGGAGGAGGAGGCGAAGGAGGAGGAGGGAGAACCCUGUGCAACGUUGGGACUUGGCAACCCGCCUCCCCCUGCCCAAGGAUAUUUAAUUUGCCUCGGGAAUCGCUACUUCCAGAGGGGAACUCAGGAGGGAAGGCGCGCGCGCCUGGAGGGGCAACGCGGAGAGACCCCAGGCUGCCGCCGCCUUGCGCCGGACUCCAGCGGGGCAGCGAGAGAGGAUGCAUCUUUGCUCCCUCCCUGGCGCGGUGGCUCAGAGGAGUCUUGGCUCUCGGAGGAUCGCGGCUGCACUCACCCGGGACCCAUUGCCUACCCCCUUGGGCGUGAAACGCCCGUAAACUCCGCUCGGGCUAUCUCCUUAGCGCAGCUGCUGCGUCCUUCUCCGGCGCCGGGGCCGCGUGGAUUUCGGAUCCGGGUUUCUGCCGCUUCCAGCCCUGUUUGCAUGUGCGGGGCCGCGGCGAGGAGCCUCCUCCCCCCACCCAGUUGUUUUUCGGCGCCUCCGUCUGCUCGGCGGCGGUGGCUGCGGCAGCAUGGCGAGCCCUCCGGAGACCGACGGCUUCUCGGACGUGCGCAAGGUUGGCUACCUGCGCAAACCCAAGAGCAUGCACAAGCGCUUUUUCGUGCUGCGAGCGGCCAGCGAGGCUGGGGGUCCGGCGCGCCUGGAGUACUACGAGAACGAGAAGAAGUGGCGGCACAAGUCGAGCGCCCCCAAACGCUCGAUCCCCCUUGAGAGCUGCUUCAACAUCAACAAGCGGGCUGACUCCAAGAAUAAGCACCUGGUGGCUCUCUACACCCGGGACGAACACUUCGCCAUCGCGGCCGACAGUGAGGCGGAGCAAGACAGCUGGUACCAGGCUCUCCUGCAGCUGCACAACCGCGCCAAGGGCCACCACGAUGCGGCCGCAGCCCCUGGGAUGGGAGGCGGCGGGGGCAGCUGCAGCAGCAGUUCGGCCCUGGGCGAGGCUGGGGAGGACUUGAGCUAUGGGGAUGUGCCCCCAGGACCCGCCUUCAAAGAGGUCUGGCAGGUGAUCCUGAAACCCAAGGGCCUGGGUCAGACGAAGAACCUGAUUGGCAUCUACCGUCUCUGCCUGACCAGCAAGACCAUCAGCUUCGUGAAGCUUAACUCGGAGGCAGCUGCUGUGGUGCUGCAGCUGAUGAACAUCAGGCGCUGUGGCCACUCGGAGAACUUCUUCUUCAUCGAGGUGGGCCGUUCGGCUGUGACAGGGCCCGGGGAGUUCUGGAUGCAGGUGGAUGACUCGGUGGUGGCCCAGAAUAUGCAUGAGACCAUCCUGGAGGCCAUGCGGGCUAUGAGUGAUGAGUUCCGCCCGCGCAGCAAGAGCCAGUCCUCAUCCAACUGCUCCAACCCCAUCAGCGUCCCCCUGCGCAGGCACCAUCUCAACAACCCCCCACCUAGCCAGGUGGGGCUGACCCGCCGGUCACGCACGGAGAGCAUCACUGCCACCUCCCCGGCCAGCAUGGUGGGCGGGAAGCCAGGGUCCUUUCGUGUCCGCGCCUCCAGCGACGGAGAAGGCACGAUGUCCCGCCCGGCCUCUGUGGACGGUAGCCCUGUGAGCCCGAGCACCAACAGGACGCAUGCCCAUCGGCAUCGGGGCAGCGCCCGGCUGCACCCCCCGCUCAACCACAGUCGCUCCAUCCCCAUGCCUUCCUCUCGAUGCUCUCCUUCAGCCACUAGCCCUGUCAGUCUGUCGUCCAGCAGCACCAGUGGCCAUGGCUCCACCUCGGACUGUCUCUUCCCACGGCGGUCUAGCGCUUCUGUGUCGGGUUCCCCCAGUGAUGGCGGUUUCAUCUCCUCGGAUGAGUAUGGGUCCAGUCCCUGCGAUUUCCGAAGUUCCUUCCGCAGUGUCACUCCAGACUCCCUAGGCCACACCCCACCAGCCCGUGGUGAGGAGGAGCUGAGCAACUAUAUCUGCAUGGGUGGCAAGGGGACCUCCACCCUGACCGCCCCCAACGGCCACUACAUUUUGUCUCGGGGUGGCAAUGGCCACCGCUACAUUCCGGGAGCUGGCUUGGGCACCAGUCCAGCCUUGGCUGGGGAUGAAGCAGCCAGCGCUGCAGAUCUGGAUAAUCGAUUCCGAAAGAGAACUCACUCGGCAGGCACAUCCCCCACCAUUUCCCACCAGAAGACCCCGUCCCAGUCAUCGGUGGCUUCCAUUGAGGAGUAUACGGAGAUGAUGCCCGCCUACCCACCAGGAGGUGGCAGUGGAGGCCGCCUGCCGGGCCACCGGCACUCUGCCUUUGUGCCCACCCACUCCUACCCGGAGGAGGGUCUGGAAAUGCACCCCUUGGAGCGUCAGAGGGGCCAUCACCGCCCAGACACCUCCAGCCUCCACACUGACGACGGCUAUAUGCCCAUGUCUCCAGGGGUGGCCCCAGUGCCUGGCAGCAGAAAGGGCAGUGGGGACUAUAUGCCCAUGAGCCCCAAGAGUGUGUCUGCCCCCCAGCAGAUCAUCAACCCCAUCAGACGCCAUCCCCAGAGAGUGGACCCCAAUGGCUACAUGAUGAUGUCACCCAGUGGCAGCUGCUCCCCUGACCUUGGAGGUGGGCCCAGCAGCGGCAGCAGUGCUGCCCCCUCUGGGAGCAGCUAUGGGAAGCUUUGGACAAAUGGUGUUGGAGGCCACCACUCUCAAGCCCUGCCCCACCCCAAACCCCCCAGGGAAAGCAGCAGUGGCAAGCUUUUGCCUUGCACAGGGGACUACAUGAACAUGUCCCCAGUGGGGGACUCCAACACCAGCAGCCCCUCCAGCUGCUACUACGGCCCUGAGUACCCCCAGCACAAGCCAGUCCUCUCCUACUACUCAUUGCCAAGGUCAUUUAAGCACACCCAGCGCCCUGGGGAGUUAGAGGAGGGUGCCCGGCACCAGCACCUCCGCCUUUCUUCCAGCUCUGGCCGUCUUCUCUAUGCUGCAGCAGCAGAAGAUUCUUCUUCCUCCACCAGCAGCGACAGCCUGGGUGGGGGAUACUGUGGGGCUAGGCAGGAGCCAGGGCUCCCAUAUACCCACCAUCAAGUCUUGCAGCCCCAUCUGCCUCGAAAAGUGGACACAGCUGCACAGACCAACAGCCGCCUGGCUCGGCCCACGAGGCUGUCCCUGGGGGAUCCCAAGGCCAGCACCUUACCUCGGGCCCGAGAGCAGCAGCAGCCCCUGUUACACCCUCCGGAGCCUAAGAGCCCAGGGGAAUACGUGAAUAUUGAAUUUGGGAGUGAUCAGCCUGGCUAUUUGUCUGGCCCCGUGGCUUCCCACAGCUUGUCUUCAAUCAGGUGUCCAUCCCAGCUCCAGCCAAUUCCCAGGGAGGAAGAGACUGGCACUGAGGAGUACAUGAAAAUGGACCUGGGGCCAGGCCGGAGGGCAGCUUGGCAGGAGAGCACUGGGGCUGAGAUGGGCAGAGUGGGUCCAGCGCCUCCUGGGGCUGCUAGUGUUUGCAGGCCCACCCGAGCAGUACCCAGCAGUCGGGGUGACUACAUGACCAUGCAGAUGGGUUGUCCCCGUCAGAACUACGUGGACACCUCCCCAGUUGCUCCUGUCAGCUAUGCUGACAUGCGGACAGGCAUUGCUGCAGAGGUGAGCCCACCCCGGGCUGCCACAGCUGCUCCCUCAUCCUCAGCUGCCUCUGCUUCCCCUGCUGCGCCUCAAGGGACAGCUGAGCCGGCUGCUCGCUCAUCCCUGCUAGGGGGCCCACAGGGACCCGGGGGUAUGAGCGCCUUCACCCGGGUAAACCUCAGUCCCAACUGCAACCAGAGUGCCAAAGUAAUCCGUGCAGACCCACAAGGGUGCCGGAGGAGGCAUAGCUCGGAGACCUUCUCCUCCACACCUAGUGCCACCAGGGCAGCCAACACAGUGCCCUUCGGAGGAGGGGCUGUAGUAGGGAGUAGCGGUGGCAGCAGCAGUGAGGAUGUGAAACGCCACAGCUCUGCUUCCUUUGAGAAUGUGUGGCUAAAGCCUGGGGAGCUUGGGGGAGCCCCCAAAGAACCAACCCAAGUGUGUGGGGCUGCUGGGGGUUUGGAGAAUGGUCUUAACUAUAUAGACCUGGAUUUGGUCAAGGACUUCAAGCAGCGCCCUCAGGAGCGCCCCCCUCAAGCGCAGCCUCCCCCACCCCCAUCCCCUCAUCCGCCCCUGGGCAGCGGUGAGAGCAGCUCCACCCGCCGCUCCAGUGAGGAUUUAAGCGCCUAUGCCAGCAUCAGUUUCCAGAAGCAGCCAGAGGCCCGCCAGUAGCUCAACUGGACAUCACACAGCAGUUCUGGAGCCUGGGAAGUCCAAGAUCCAGGCACUGCAGAUUUGGCAUCAAGUGAGGACUCCCUUCCUGGUUUGCAGAUGGCCGUCUUCUCACUGCAUCUUCUCAUGGUGGAGAGUGGAGAGCAGAGAGCAAGCCCUGGUGCCUUCUCCCAGAAGGGCUCUGCUCCCACUCAUAAUGAAGACCUUAAUGACCUCAGCAAAUCCUCCUCUAACUCAUGGGUACCCAGACUCUAAAUAUUUCAUGAUUCACAACUAGGACCUCAUAUUUUUCUCCUCGGUAGAUGGUACGAUGCAUCCAUUUCAGUUUGUUUACUUUAUACAAGCCUCAGGAGUUCGUUGACUGAACUGCGCGUUCUAUAUUGCAAAAAAGCACUGUGACACCAGAACGAUGAGUCUGCAUAAAUUUCACCUUCACCCGUAAGGACGCAGCUGGCCACAGUGAGCUGACGUGCCCACCACCGUGCCACGAGAGAAAGGGUUUCCUCUCACUGCAUCUGCAAGAUACAUUUCAUCUGUUGCUGAAACUGUGUAUGACAAAGCGUCCUUGUAAAUUAUUUCAUAGAAAACUGUUCAUGUCGGGUGGAGAGAGUAUUAAAUAUUUAACAUAGGUUUUGAUUUAUAUGUGUAAUUUUUUUAAUGAAAAUGUAACUUUUCUUACAGCACAUCUUUUUUUUGGAUGUGGGACUGAGGUAUACAGUGUUCUGUUGUAAAGAAUGGAGCAAAUGCUUAAAACAAGGCUAAAAAGAUUAGGAUAGGGUAUGGUCUUUGUUUUAAGAUUGUAACUCAGAAAAAUAAUAUAAUAAGAAUCAUAGUGCCAUAGAUGGUUCUCAGUUGUAUAGUUAUAUUUGCUGAUACUAUCUCUUGUAAUAUAAACCUAAUAUUGAGCUGAGUUCCUUAUAAGAAUUAAUCUUAAUUUUGUAUUUUUCCUGUAAGACAAAUAGGCCGUGUUAAUUAAACUGUAGAAAGGUGUAUUCUGCUGGGUGUUUUUCAACUGUCAGCUUAAAAUUGGCGUUUGAGUGGAAGCAAAAUUACAACAACAGGAAUUCAAAGUCUUCCAUCGUAAAUACUGUCAAGAUGAGGAGACAUGGGUGAUUCCUUCAAAUCAAAAGCUGUCCUUGGAAUGAACAAUGUGGGUGUUUGUAAAUUCUGGAAAUGUCUUUCUAUUCAUAAUAAACUAGAUACUGU